AACGAACGCUGGCGGCAUGCCUAACACAUGCAAGUCGAACGAGAUCUUCGGGUCUAGUGGCGCACGGGUGCGUAACGCGUGGGAAUCUGCCCUUUGGUUCGGAAUAACAGUUGGAAACGACUGCUAAUACCGGAUGAUGACGAAAGUCCAAAGAUUUAUCGCCAGAGGAUGAGCCCGCGUGGGAUUAGCUAGUUGGUGUGGUAAAGGCGCACCAAGGCGACGAUCCUUAGCUGGUCUGAGAGGAUGAUCAGCCACACUGGGACUGAGACACGGCCAGACUCCUACGGGAGGCAGCAGUGGGGAAUAUUGGACAAUGGGCGAAAGCCUGAUCCAGCAAUGCCGCGUGAGUGAUGAAGGCCUUAGGGUUGUAAAGCUCUUUUACCCGGGAUGAUAAUGACAGUACCGGGAGAAUAAGCUCCGGCUAACUCCGUGCCAGCCGCCGCGGUAA
Molecule: ribosomal RNA, 448 nt
Filed under: uncultured bacterium
Lineage: Bacteria
Description: partial 16S ribosomal RNA
Rfam family: Bacterial small subunit ribosomal RNA
Source: RNAcentral